UACGGAAGGCAGCAGUGGGGAAUAUUGCACAAUGGGCGAAAGCCUGAUGCAGCUAUGCCGCGUGUAUGAAGAAGGCCUUAGGGUUGUAAAGUACUUUCAUCGGGGAGGAAAAACAAAACUAAUAAUUUUAUUUCUUGACGUUACCCGAAAAAGAAGCACCGGCUAACUCCGUGCCAGCAGCCGCGGUAAUACGGAGGGUGCUAGCGUUAAUCAGAAUUACUGGGCGUAAAGAGCACGUAGGUGGUUUUUUAAGUCAGAUGUGAAAUCCCUGGGCUUAACCUAGGAACUGCAUUUUGAAACUGAAAUACUAGAGUAUCGUAGAGGGAGGUAGAAUUCUAGGUGUAGCGGUGAAAUGCGUAGAUAUCUGGAGGAAUACCUGUGGCGAAAGCGGCCUCCUAAACGAAUACUGACACUGAGGUGCGAAAGCGUGGGGAGCAAAC
This 440-nucleotide ribosomal RNA is filed under the name uncultured bacterium. Its description in RNAcentral is "bacterial SSU rRNA". It matches the Rfam family "Bacterial small subunit ribosomal RNA", at positions 340 to 773 of the family's 1533-position model. The record is from RNAcentral.